Molecule: non-coding RNA, 492 nt
Organism: Cajanus cajan (pigeon pea)
Lineage: Eukaryota; Viridiplantae; Streptophyta; Magnoliopsida; Fabales; Fabaceae
Source: RefSeq, a predicted model, not a curated record
AAGGUAUUGAUAUCAUGCAGGUAAAAGAAAGCAGAAGACAUUAACAGUAGUUGUUAUCGUUGUUCCGAUUGUUGUUUCACUGGUGCUUUUAGCUUUGGGCUGCUGCUGUUUUCUACAUAGAAAAGAAGCAAAGAAUCAUCAUGAUAUUCUCAAAGAAAGCUCAGUUGGGAAUGACAGCACCACUUUGGAGUCAUUGCGAUUUGAGUUGGCCAAAAUUGAAGCUGCAACAAAUAGAUUUGCUAAAGAAAAUAUGAUAGGCAAAGGCGGAUUUGGAGAGGUCUAUAGGGGUAUUCUUUCGGAUGGACAAGAAAUAGCUGUGAAGAGGCUUACAGGAAGCUCCCGGCAAGGUGCGGUAGAGUUUAAAAAUGAGGUUCAAGUUAUAGCUAAGCUUCAACACAGAAAUCUAGUGAGGUUACUGGGAUUUUGCUUAGAAGAUGACGAAAAAAUGCUCAUUUACGAAUACGUGCCAAACAAGAGCUUAGAUUACUUUUU